ACGCUAGCUACAGGCUUAACACAUGCAAGUCGAGGGGCAGCGGGUUGAAAGCUUGCUUUCAAUGCCGGCGACCGGCGCACGGGUGCGUAACGCGUAUCAAACCUGCCUUAUACUCGGGGAUAGCCUUGCGAAAGUAAGAUUAAUACCCGAUGUUGUUGCUUUCUCGCAUGGGAGAGUAACCAAAGAUUUAUCGGUAUGAGAUGGUGAUGCGUCCGAUUAGGUAGUAGGCGGGGUAACGGCCCACCUAGCCUUCGAUCGGUAGGGGUUCUGAGAGGAAGGUCCUCCACACUGGAACUGAGACACGGUCCAGACUCCUACGGGAGGCAGCAGUGAGGAACAUUGGUCAAUGGGCGAGAGCCUGAACCAGCCAAGUAGCGUGCAGGAUGACGGCCCUCCGGGUUGUAAACUGCUUUUAGUUGGGAAUAAAAAAAGGGACUUGUCCCUUCUUGUAUGUACCUUCAGAAAAAGGACCGGCUAAUUCCGUGCCAGCAGCCGCGGUAAUACGGAAGGUCCAGGCGUUAUCCGGAUUUAUUGGGUUUAAAGGGAGCGUAGGCGGAUUGUUAAGUCAGCGGUUAAAGGGUGUGGCUCAACCAUGCAUUGCCGUUGAAACUGGCGAUCUUGAGUGCAGACAGGGAUGCCGGAAUUCGUGGUGUAGCGGUGAAAUGCUUAGAUAUCACGAAGAACUCCGAUCGCGAAGGCAGGUGUCCGGGCUGCAACUGACGCUGAGGCUCGAAAGUGUGGGUAUCAAACAGGAUUAGAUACCCUGGUAGUCCACACAGUAAACGAUGUAUACUCGCGGUUUGCGAUAGACAGUAAGCCGCCAAGCGAAAGCAUUAAGUAUACCACCUGGGGAGUACGCCGGCAACGGUGAAACUCAAAGGAAUUGACGGGGGCCCGCACAAGCGGAGGA
Molecule: ribosomal RNA, 910 nt
Filed under: uncultured bacterium
Lineage: Bacteria
Description: bacterial SSU rRNA
Rfam family: Bacterial small subunit ribosomal RNA
Source: RNAcentral